This 477-nucleotide ribosomal RNA is filed under the name uncultured bacterium. Its description in RNAcentral is "partial 16S ribosomal RNA". It matches the Rfam family "Bacterial small subunit ribosomal RNA", at positions 28 to 507 of the family's 1533-position model. The record is from RNAcentral.
GAUGAACGCUGGCGGCGUGCCUAAUACAUGCAAGUCGAGCGAACGGACGAGAAGCUUGCUUCUCUGAUGUUAGCGGCGGACGGGUGAGUAACACGUGGAUAACCUACCUAUAAGACUGGGAUAACUUCGGGAAACCGGAGCUAAUACCGGAUAAUAUUUUGAACCGCAUGGUUCAAAAGUGAAAGACGGUCUUGCUGUCACUUAUAGAUGGAUCCGCGCUGCAUUAGCUAGUUGGUAAGGUAACGGCUUACCAAGGCAACGAUGCAUAGCCGACCUGAGAGGGUGGCCGGCGACGUGGGGACUGAGGUACGGACAAGACGGAUACGGGAGGCAACAGUGGGGAAUAUUACACAAUGGUGGGAAGCGAGAUACAGAAACGUCGCGUGCGGGAAAACGGCUUACGGGGUGUAAACAGCUGUCGCCUGAGACGAAGAGUGAGUGACGGUAAUGGGUAAAGAAGCAACGGCUAACUACGUG